AGGACGAACGCUGGCGGCGUGCUUAACACAUGCAAGUCGAACGGAAAGGCCCGCUUGCGGGUACUCGAGUGGCGAACGGGUGAGUAACACGUGGGCAACCUGCCCUCAGCUCUGGGAUAACUCCGGGAAACCGGUGCUAAUACUGGAUAUCGACUUCUGCCUCGCAUGGGGUGUUGUUGAAAGUUUUUCGGCUGGGGAUGGGCCCGCGGCCUAUCAGCUUGUUGGUGGGGUGAUGGCCUACCAAGGCGACGACGGGUAGCCGGCCUGAGAGGGCGACCGGCCACACUGGGACUGAGACACGGCCCAGACUCCUACGGGAGGCAGCAGUGGGGAAUAUUGCGCAAUGGGCGGAAGCCUGACGCAGCGACGCCGCGUGAGGGAUGACGGCCUUCGGGUUGUAAACCUCUUUCAGCAGGGACGAAGCGAAAGUGACGGUACCUGCAGAAGAAGCACCGGCCAACUACGCGCCAGCAGCCGCGGUAA
RNAcentral lists this ribosomal RNA (483 nucleotides) under uncultured bacterium. RNAcentral's name for it is "SSU rRNA". It matches the Rfam family "Bacterial small subunit ribosomal RNA", at positions 26 to 523 of the family's 1533-position model. The record is from RNAcentral.